AUGGCGAUGGUCCUGGAUGCCUUUGCAUCCUAUGUGCAAGACAUGCUGGCCGAGAUGGCAAAAGAAGAGGUGCACAUGCUCCUUGGAGUAGGAGAUGAGAUUGACAAGAUGGAUGUCAAGCUUGGGGAUCUCAAGAACUUCCUCGCUGACGCUGAUAGGAAAAACAUCACUGAAGUGAGUGUGCAAGAGUGGGUGGCGCAGCUCAAGCGCAUCAUGUACGAAGCUGCCGACAUCCUCGACCUCUGCCAACUCAAGGCCAUGGAGCGUGGUCCAUCCACCAUAGAUGUUGGGUGCUUCAACCCCUUGCUCUUUUGCCUGCGGAAUCCCCAUCAUGCACAUGUAAUUGGUAGCCGCAUCAAGGUGCUCAACAAGAAACUCGAUAGCAUCUACGAGCGCAUCGGUCCUUUAAAGCUUAUUAAUCUCAGUUCAUUUGAAGACCGUCGCAGCAAGGAGCAAGCUUCUCAUUCUGGUAAUCCCAGACGUGAGACAGGUGGGGAGUUUAACCGGUCCGGUUUAGUUGGGGAGAAGAUCGAAGAAGACACAAGAAAGCUGGUUGAGAUCAUGCUGACAGAAAAAGAAAGUAACAACAACAUCAUGGUGGUUGCGAUCGUUGGCGUCGGCGGGAUCGGUAAGACUACUCUUGCCCAGAAGAUCUUUAAUGACGAAAAUAUAAACUCCAACUUCGACAAGACAAUAUGGUUAAGCAUCAACCAGGACUUUGACAAGGUCGAGCUCCUCAAGACAAUCAUCACCCUCUCUGGGGGAGUACAUGGUGGUGAAACGGCGUUGGCUGUGCUUCAGCCAAUCCUUACCGCUACCUUGAAAGGGAAGAAGCUAUUGUUGGUUCUUGAUGAUGUGUGGAGCCACAGAGCAUGGGGCGAUGUGCUUGAAACACUUGUAUCUAAUGUUGUGGCUCGAGGUAGCCGAGUCCUUGUCACUACUAGAGAUGAAAGAGUAGCUCGAGGGAUGAAAGCUGAGCUUCCCUACCACCAUGUCGACAAAUUAGAGGAGGAGGAUGCCUGGUCAUUGCUGAAGAAACAGAUAGUCUCAAGUGAGACAGAUGUAUCUGAGAUUGAUAUGCUCAAGGAUAUUGGCUUGCAAAUUGUAGCAAAAUGUGAUGGAUUGCCUCUUGCUCUCAAAGUAAUGGGAGGACUCUUGUGUCAAAAGGAUAAUCAGCACCAUGACUGGAAGAUGGUUCUGGAUGAUUCUAUAUGGUCAGUAUCGGGAAUGCCUGAAGAGCUAAACCAUGCAGUAUAUUUAAGCUAUGAAGAUUUACCUUCUUGCAUCAAACAAUGCUUUCUAUGGUACUCCCUUCUCCCUAAAUCUGGAACAUUUCUAAGAGACGACAUAAUUGGCAUGUGGAUUAGUGAAGGAUUCCUUCAUGGACCCUCAGACAACUUAGAAGAAUUAGGAAUAAAGUAUUAUAAGGAGCUAAUACAAAGGAACCUUAUAGAGCCAGAUUCAAAGUACAUCGAUCAAUUAUUUUGCAACAUGCAUGAUGUCGUUCGGUCAUUUGCUCAAUUUGUUGCCAGAGAUGAGGCACUAGCAGCUCACAGUGAAACUAAUAUUGUUAGUAAACUUAGUGCACAAAAGUUUCUCCGGCUGUCACUAGAAAGCAAAGCAUUAGAAUCAAAGGGGUUGGGUUGGAGUUCUUUACAAGCACAGAACACAUUGAGAACGCUAAUAUCAGUUGGCUAUACAAUGAGGAAGCCGGGUGCUUCAUUGGUUAAUUAUUUUCCAUGUCUACGGACUCUACAUGUAGAGUCUGCACAUGUUAUGUUGGUUGAGUCUUUGCAUAAAUUCAAGCACCUGAGGUACCUGUCCUUAGACCAAUCUGAUAUAUGUAGACUGCCAGAAAGCAUUGGAAAAAUGAAAUUCUUGCAGCACAUUAGCCUUAGAGGAUGCCAACAAUUUGUGGAACUUCCACAUAGCAUUGUAAAGUUAGGGCAGCUAAGGUACCUUAACCUACAUGAAACAAGUAUAAGUGCCAUACCUAGGGGGUUCUGUGUUCUGACAAAUCUGAGGAAAGUAAAUGGGUUUCCGGCUUGGGUGGAUGGUGACUGGUGCAGCUUAGAAGAGUUGGGUUCUCUUUCUCGGCUUAGGUAUCUCGAAAUACAAGGGUUGGAGAAUGUAACUGCUUCCUCGCUCGCAACAAAGGCGAAGCUUGUUGAGAAGGCACAUCUUACCAACCUAUGCUUAACCUGCGGUAGUAAAUUCGGGGACGUCUUCCCCGAGGAAGAGAGCCAACGAAUCAAGAAUGUGUUUGAUGAGCUUUGCCCUCCGCCAAACUUGAGUUUUCUUGCCAUCGAAGGCUAUUUUGGCCGAUGGCACCCAAGGUGGAUGAUGUCAUCAUCAGAUGUACCCCUCAAGAGCUUGAGGAUUCUGAUGGUUGAAGAUCUGGCUUGGUGCACAGAACUUCCUGAUGGCUUGUGUCAGCUCCCAUGUUUAGAGUUCCUUCAGAUUUACCAUGCCCCAGCCAUCAAGCGUGUUGGACAUGAGUUCCUACUGUCCUACCAUGGCCAGAAUCCUUAUCCUUCUCAGGCGGUGGUUUCAUUUCUGAGAUUGCACACGAUGAAGUUAAUGCGAAUGGUGGAAUGGGAGGAGUGGAAGUGGGAGGACCAAAUGCAAGCCUUUCCUUCCUUGAAGGAGCUUAUUCUGUUUGAAUGCAAAUUGAGUUGUCUUCCUCCUGGCCUUGCCUCCCAUGCAAGGGCUUUGAAUGUACUAUCCUUACAACAGGUCGAGGGUCUCAUCUCUGUAGAGAACAUUACUUCCCUUAUUGAGCUGCAAGUGAUUGAGAACUUUGACUUGGAGAGGAUCACUAAUCUCCCCAGGCUGCAGAAGCUUACCGUCACCCAUUGCCCAAAGUUGAAGGUGCUGGAGGGUGUUCCUGCAUUACAGAGGCUGAUGCUCGAAGAUGACGACAUGGAAACACUCCCAGAAUACAUGGGAAGUAUAAACCCAAGGCGUUUGGAGCUCUACUGCAUCCUGUCACUGCUUGCUUCCAUGGCCAUGGCACAAUCUAGCCCUGAGUGGGACAAGUUUAGCCAUAUUGAGCAUGUCAAGGUAUAUGCACGUGAAGGAGAUAAACCAAGGAAAUGGUAUGUCUUGUACACAGCUAACCCAUACAACUUGGAGGCAAAUAUCAACAACCACUCUUUCAUGUCGAGAGGAACCUUGACUUCUUUUGAGGAUGCACAAAGAUUUGAGUCUCUCUUCAAAAUGAUGAAAAAAACCUUUAGCUACAUCUGCAGCUUGGUGAUGGGGCCGUCAAUGGAAGAUAUGAACAGCUACACCUUUGUUGACGGGAGGGUGCUGUCUUUAAAAGAUCGGGUAGCCAUUGCUCUUAGAAGGUUGCAGUCCAGUGAGCCAACAGAGAGCAUAGCAUCCUCUGUUGGUGUGAACGAGUCAAUCAUCUUGUUGGUAACUGAGAGGUUCAUUGAAGCUAUGUGGGAGCAGGCAGACCACCACUUGAGAUGGCCAGACUCCAGCGAAAUGGAUAAGAUCAAAUCCAAGUUUGACAAGAUCCACAAUAUGCAUAACUGUUGCGGGGUAAUAUGUACAACGCACAUCCCAUUUGGACCAAACUGCCACCAUGACAAGAAUGAUAGCAUUUAG
Molecule: ribosomal RNA, 3615 nt
Filed under: Triticum aestivum (bread wheat)
Lineage: Eukaryota; Viridiplantae; Streptophyta; Magnoliopsida; Poales; Poaceae
Description: partial small subunit ribosomal RNA
Source: RNAcentral